GGAGCUUGCUCCUGAUGUUAGCGGCGGACGGGUGAGUAACACGUGGGUAACCUGCCUGUAAGACUGGGAUAACUCCGGGAAACCGGGGCUAAUACCGGAUGCUUGUUUGAACCGCAUGGUUCAAACAUAAAAGGUGGCUUCGGCUACCACUUACAGAUGGACCCGCGGCGCAUUAGCUAGUUGGUGAGGUAAUGGCUCACCAAGGCGACGAUGCGUAGCCGACCUGAGAGGGUGAUCGGCCACACUGGGACUGAGACACGGCCCAGACUCCUACGGGAGGCAGCAGUAGGGAAUCUUCCGCAAUGGACGAAAGUCUGACGGAGCAACGCCGCGUGAGUGAUGAAGGUUUUCGGAUCGUAAAGCUCUGUUGUUAGGGAAGAACAAGUACCGUUCGAAUAGGGCGGUACCUUGACGGUACCUAACCAGAAAGCCACGGCUAACUACGUGCCAGCAGCCGCGGUAAUACGUAGGUGGCAAGCGUUGUCCGGAAUUAUUGGGCGUAAAGGGCUCGCAGGCGGUUUCUUAAGUCUGAUGUGAAAGCCCCCGGCUCAACCGGGGAGGGUCAUUGGAAACUGGGGAACUUGAGUGCAGAAGAGGAGAGUGGAAUUCCACGUGUAGCGGUGAAAUGCGUAGAGAUGUGGAGGAACACCAGUGGCGAAGGCGACUCUCUGGUCUGUAACUGACGCUGAGGAGCGAAAGCGUGGGGAGCGAACAGGAUUAGAUACCCUGGUAGUCCACGCCGUAAACGAUGAGUGCUAAGUGUUAGGGGGUUUCCGCCCCUUAGUGCUGCAGCUAACGCAUUAAGCACUCCGCCUGGGGAGUACGGUCGCAAGACUGAAACUCAAAGGAAUUGACGGGGGCCCGCACAAGCGGUGGAGCAUGUGGUUUAAUUCGAAGCAACGCGAAGAACCUUACCAGGUCUUGACAUCCUCUGACAAUCCUAGAGAUAGGACGUCCCCUUCGGGGGCAGAGUGACAGGUGGUGCAUGGUUGUCGUCAGCUCGUGUCGUGAGAUGUUGGGUUAAGUCCCGCAACGAGCGCAACCCUUGAUCUUAGUUGCCAGCAUUCAGUUGGGCACUCUAAGGUGACUGCCGGUGACAAACCGGAGGAAGGUGGGGAUGACGUCAAAUCAUCAUGCCCCUUAUGACCUGGGCUACACACGUGCUACAAUGGACAGAACAAGGGCAGCGAAACCGCGAGGUUAAGCCAAUCCCACAAAUCUGUUCUCAGUUCGGAUCGCAGUCUGCAACUCGACUGCGUGAAGCUGGAAUCGCUAGUAAUCGCGGAUCA
This 1289-nucleotide ribosomal RNA is filed under the name Bacillus halotolerans. RNAcentral describes it as "bacterial SSU rRNA". It matches the Rfam family "Bacterial small subunit ribosomal RNA", at positions 75 to 1351 of the family's 1533-position model. Lineage: Bacteria; Bacillati; Bacillota; Bacilli; Caryophanales; Bacillaceae. The record is from RNAcentral.